RNAcentral lists this ribosomal RNA (370 nucleotides) under uncultured prokaryote. RNAcentral describes it as "bacterial SSU rRNA". It matches the Rfam family "Bacterial small subunit ribosomal RNA", at positions 524 to 896 of the family's 1533-position model. The record is from RNAcentral.
UACGGAGGGUGCAAGCGUUAUCCGGAUUCAUUGGGUUUAAAGGGUGCGCAGGCGGGUUUGUCAGUCAGUGGUGAAAUCCUACGGCUUAACCGUGGAACUGCCAUUGAUACUGCAAGUCUUGAGUAUAGUUGAAGUGGGCGGAAUGUAGCAUGUAGCGGUGAAAUGCAUAGAUAUGCUACAGAACACCAAUUGCGAAGGCAGCUCACUAAGUUAUAACUGACGCUCAUGCACGAAAGCGUGGGGAUCAAACAGGAUUAGAUACCCUGGUAGUCCACGCUGUAAACGAUGAUCACUCGUUGUUGGCGAUACACAGUCAGCGACCAAGCGAAAGUGAUAAGUGAUCCACCUGGGGAGUACGAUCGCAAGGUUG